UAAGAGAUAGAGAAUAGAGAUUUCUGAAAUGGUUGAGAAUUCUACAAAAAUUCCAUUGUUUCAUGGAGUGAUUCUUUGUGAUUUCUUAGAUCAACUUCUGAAGUGCAUACUGAUUUAUUUGGGAGCUGGAAUUGGUUAGUUAUUUGAAAUGUUAAGAGGUCAGAUUUCAGAAAUACAAAGGGCAAAGAAAACUUCUACUAAUGAGUUUCUUUGAUAUACUAAUUCUUUUAAAAUAUGAAAACAGUAGUUCUUCAUUGUAAAAAGUAAAAAAAAUGAUUUGACUUUGGUUUUAAAACGUGGUUCCAAGUCUGAUGUUUUGUUCGAGUGAAAUUCUUUCUUUUCGGUUGUUGUGUAUCAAUCAUGGGCUUGAAGCUGGGGUUUCGCUGAUAUUUCUGUUGACUGAUUGUUGUUGUUGCUGUGAUUGACUCAUUACCUCAUUUUCUCUGUUCCUCCCCUAUCCAGGUACAUACUGUAAAGCUUUACUGCUUGUGAAAUGUUGGAUUUAAAGAAUAAAAAGAGAAUAACGGUUUGAAAGCAUAAUUUUAGUUGUUUCUGAUUCAAUCUUGUAUUAUUCUGAAUUUCUUUUCUUACUUGGUAUGCCACACUGUUAGUUGAUCCCUGUGUUAAGUAAACAAGUUCUUUUUGUAAUUGAUCUGGGACUAUUGUAAAACUAAAAGGACAGUUUAUUAUAUAACUUUAAGUCAUACAUGCAUGCUUGAGAAAUGUGGGAAUUGUAAAUGGUUUUUGGAUUUAGCUGCUAGGGUGUGCUUUAGUUUGGCAAUAUGUUACUCAUGUUCAAUUGAUCAUGUGUUCACCCAUUGGUUCUGAUGAAAGUAUUUUUGGACUUCUGAGAAUUAUAAUUGUGAUUAAAGAGAAAUGAUCCAUAGUAUUUCAAAUAAUAGAUUUAGUUCAUUUUGAUUUGAUUAUGAGCAUGAGCAAAUUGGGACUCGUGGGUUGUAAUGUUCAUGUAAUGGUUUUAAACGUGGAAAACAAAGUUAAAUCUCAUUUUUGUGUGGUCCAAUUGAAAUGUAAGUAGUAAUGGGCCUGCAGACUUGUUCCUAAGGAUUGGGCUAGAGACUGAUCCGAUUACUGAAAUCAAAGGGCUAGGUUUACUGGGGUGUUCAGUUUGUUAGCAAAAGCUGGGAUCACUUUGGCUCCUAUAUAGGGGUGUACAAAGAAAAUCGACAAACUGCACCAACCCGAUAAUUCGAAUCAAACCGAGGAAAAAAUCCGGCCAUGGUUUGGUUUGAUUUGGUUUGGUGUUGGGAAAAAAACCCCGAUCAUAAUUGGUUUGGUUUGGUUUUAACUAAAGAAAGUCAAACCGAAACCAAACCAACCUAACAUUACAUAUAUAUAACUUUUAGAUAUAUUUUAUAUAUAAUAUACUUAUUGUGAUGUAAUUUAUAAAUAUUUCUUUAAAAAAUUUAUAAUUUUAUCUUUUAAAGUAUUAUUUCAAGAUUGGACUUAGAACUUUUUGAAUGUUCCAAUAAGUUUUAUAGCCGUUAACAUUAGUAAAUUAAAUAAUGCUAACAAAAGCCAAAUUAAAACCAAAAUCAAAUCAAUAUUAAUGCUAACAAAAGAC
RNAcentral lists this long non-coding RNA (1582 nucleotides) under Nicotiana benthamiana. Its description in RNAcentral is "long non-coding RNA (NBEN_LNC023842)". The record is from RNAcentral. Lineage: Eukaryota; Viridiplantae; Streptophyta; Magnoliopsida; Solanales; Solanaceae.